Molecule: ribosomal RNA, 468 nt
Filed under: uncultured bacterium
Lineage: Bacteria
Description: partial 16S ribosomal RNA
Rfam family: Bacterial small subunit ribosomal RNA
Source: RNAcentral
GACGAACGCUGGCGGCUUUCUUCCCCCCUUCACUUCUAACUUACAUGCCCUGCUUUUUUUUUUUGCUCGAGUGGCGAACGGGUGAGUAACACGUGAGUAACCUUCCCUUGACUUUGGGAUAACUUCAUUCAACUGGGGCUAAUACCGGAUAUUAUCUCCUGCUUCAUUGUGUUGGUUGGAAAGUUUCGGCGGUUGGGGAUGGACUCGCGGCUUAUCAGCUUGUUGGUGGGGUAGUUGCUUACCAAGGCUUUGCCUUGUAGCCGGCAUGUGUGGGUGACCGGACACAUUGGGCAUGAGAUACGGCCAAGACUCCUACGGGAGGCAGCAGUGGGGAAUAUUGCACAAUGGGCGGAAGCCUGAUACAGCAACGCCGCGUGAGGGAGGAAGGGGGUCGGGUUGUAAACCGCUUUCGCCUGGGACGAAGAGUGAGUGAAGGGAAUGGGUAAAGAAGCAAAGGAGAAAUAAGGG